AUUUAUUCAGUUCUCCUCCGGAUUUUGUUCCAUACCCACUCUGCUCUCCCCGUUCGUUGCCUUGCCUUGCCUUGUUCGGCGUUAAGGAACAAACAGCCCAUCCACCAGUCUGCUGGGUUUCUCCACAUUCUCACCCUGGAACAUGAGAGACGGCGAUCCAGUGACUGGAGCUACGUUUAGAUAUGUGAAUCAGAUCUCCCUCCAUAAAUCUCGUUCUCCGUUUUUAGGCACCGCACUCAACAGUCCAGUCCCCUUGAGCGGUGUGAUUCACAUGGAGGGCCCCGCAGCAGCCCUCCUUCCUGCGCUCUCCCUGAGUUUCCUUCCACCCUUUGUCGAAACCCUCCCUCCCCACUUUGCUUUGUUCUCAUCCCGUCUUUUUCCCACCUCUCCCGUCCGUCAUCUUAACCCCCAGACUAUAUGUAUAUUUUGUCCUAAUUUCAUACAAAGACCAUAGAAUGAUUUUAUGUGAAGUUGAGUCAAAAGAAAAAAUAAAAAUAACAAUAACAAUAGAUGAAAAAAAUCAUCAUGGAUAUGAUCAAACCAAUCAAAAUGCACAUUUUGGAUUGGUGUCAUUUCUUUCAUGAGAAAAAAAUAUCCUUAGAAACUACAAUGUUGGAAUCCAUAUGUGUCCUAUUCUGGCUACCAUUAAUUAAACUGAGUCUUCUUCUUCUUCUUCUUCUUCUUCAUUUUUCUGAUGAGAUUCACACAGAAUAUUCAUUUCUUCAUUCAUGUUCAUGAAAAUGUAUUUAGGCAAUUUCACAAACUAAGAAUUCAAUAAUAUUACUAACUUGAAAGUAUAAACCACUACUUAGAUGUUAGAGUUUUAAAUCAUAUACUACACACACACCUAGAGAGAGAGAGAGAGAGAGAGAGAGAGCACAUACCAUCCUGCAGUAGAUUAAAAAACCAGGAAUGCUAUCAUGUCAAAUGCACAAUAAAACAAAAACCUAAAAGAGAACAAAUGUAACUGGGGACCCACUUCCACUUGGUGAUCAGGAGCAUUGGCAAAGAAAGAGAGGCAAGAAGAAGAAGAAAGGAAUCUAGUCAGUCAUACAUGGAGUUGGAAGCAGCAGCAGCAGCAGCAUAAAAGGGGAGCAGGCAAUUCUUCUGUAAGCCAUGCCAUGCACACAGUGCCAAUGCCUCAUUCAGCCAGGCUUUGUUCCAACCAAGCCAAGCAAACAAGGAAAGAAAGAUGGAUCCACCAUGGAGGAAAGGAAAGGAAAGGAGGGUGCACCACCAUGUCCCACCCCAAAAGUGCCGCUAACCUUCCGCAGUGCCUUCAUUCAGUGAGGAGGACUGACUAAGUGGAUGGGUGCAGGACCAUUGUGGAGGUACCUUGAGCCAAACUGGGGGCAAAUCUCACUCACAUGUGUGUGUGUGAGUGAGUGACCAUGAGGAGGAGGAGGAAAUAGAGGAAGCAAAGGAAGCAGGGCAGCACCAUUGAAGACAGACAGACAGAAAUAUAGACAGAGAGGCCACCGAUUAUUAUAUUUUGUUGAGGAUCAUUCAUACCCACAUUGUUUGUUGGGUGGUGGGGGUGGGUGGGUCCCUCCCUUGCCACCACCCCCUUUUUGUGCAGUGAGAAUGAGAGAAAAGCCAAAGUGCAUGAAGGAGCUUUGCUGCUUGCUUGCUUGCUUGCAUACUUGCCUUGCUGUGCCCCAAUCCACAUGGUACAGUAUGCUUGCUCACACUCCCAAGUGGGUUUGGGUGCCCAUGCACCAAUGUCACCAUGCAAACUCUCUUAGACCAGAUGCCAGUUCCUCUCUUUGUGCAUGUCUCUCUGUAUGUGUGAGUGUGUGUAGGAGAAUAUAUAUAUAUAUAUAUAUAUACAUACAUAGAGAGAGAGAGAGAGAGAUUUGUUUGUCACAGCAGUUUGUUCCCAGGACAUUGAUUGCUUACCAUAAAGGAGUUUAAAAUACAUGAAACAAUGUGUUGCAUUGGUACAAAUAUGGGAGAAAUUGCUGAGACAACCUUGAGCAAUGUCUGGAUGAUGCAUCAAGGUUGUUGUGAGUUCUGUACGAGUGUUAGAGUGCUUUCAAAGAUUAUGGGGAUUUAAAUAACGUGGAUAAGUGUGCAUCCACAUGCCUAGUUUACAGUUUGGUACAUAGAGGUUACAAGUAGUUGUCAAUGUACUUUGUAGAGGCCCCAAAAUUUCAUUUAUGUAUGUAUGUAUGUAUGUAUAUGUACACAUAUGUCUGUACCAGUCCCACACAAGCAUCAAAUAACCAAAAUUACUAAUACUAUAUUGAAGUUUACGUUUUUAUAAGA
Molecule: long non-coding RNA, 2268 nt
Filed under: Physcomitrium patens
Lineage: Eukaryota; Viridiplantae; Streptophyta; Bryopsida; Funariales; Funariaceae
Description: long non-coding RNA (PPAT_LNC012785)
Source: RNAcentral